UACGGAGGGGACUAGCGUUGUUCGGAAUUACUGGGCGUAAAGCGCACGUAGGCGGCUUUGUAAGUCAGGGGUGAAAUCCCGGGGCUCAACCUCGGAACUGCCUUUGAUACUGCAAAUCUCGAGUCCGGAAGAGGUGAGUGGAAUUCCUAGUGUAGAGGUGAAAUUCGUAGAUAUUAGGAAGAACACCAGUGGCGAAGGCAGCUCUCUGGGACGGUACUGACGCUGAGACGCGAAAGCGUGGGGAGCGAACAGG
RNAcentral lists this ribosomal RNA (253 nucleotides) under uncultured bacterium. Its description in RNAcentral is "partial 16S ribosomal RNA". It matches the Rfam family "Bacterial small subunit ribosomal RNA", at positions 524 to 776 of the family's 1533-position model. The record is from RNAcentral.